GGCAGUGUGAUUUAGUGGACAGAAUACAGACCUGGGAGUCAGAAGGACUGGGUUCUAAUUUCAGCUCUGCCA
Molecule: transfer RNA, 72 nt
Filed under: Ornithorhynchus anatinus (platypus)
Lineage: Eukaryota; Metazoa; Chordata; Mammalia; Monotremata; Ornithorhynchidae
Rfam family: tRNA
About the family: Transfer RNA (tRNA) molecules are approximately 80 nucleotides in length.
Source: Rfam by way of RNAcentral